CCUACGGGUGGCAGCAGUGGGGAAUCUUGCACAAUGGGGGAAACCCUGAUGCAGCGACGCCGCGUGCGUGAAGAAGUCUUUCGGUAUGUAAAGCUCUAUCAGCAGCGAAGAAUAUGACGGUAACUGAUUAAGAAGCAUCGGCUAACUACGUGCCAGCAGCCGCGGUAAUACGUAGGGGGCGAGCGUUAUCCGGAUUUACUGGGUGUAAAGGGUGCGUUGACGGCCGUACAAGUUUGAUGUGAAAUUCCGGGGCUUAACCCAGGGACUGCUUUGGAAAAUGUGCAGCUAGAGUGCCUGUGAGGUAAGUGGAAUUUCUAGUGUAGCGGUGAAAUGCGUAGAUAUUAGGAGGAACACCAGUGGCGAAGGCGGGUUGCUGGACUGUAACUGACGUUGAGGCUCGAAAGCGUAGGGAGCAAACAGGAUUAGAUACCCUGGUAGUC
This 440-nucleotide ribosomal RNA is filed under the name uncultured bacterium. RNAcentral describes it as "partial 16S ribosomal RNA". It matches the Rfam family "Bacterial small subunit ribosomal RNA", at positions 338 to 795 of the family's 1533-position model. The record is from RNAcentral.